RNAcentral lists this unclassified non-coding RNA (293 nucleotides) under Melitaea cinxia (Glanville fritillary). RNAcentral describes it as "misc RNA ENSMCXG00005008171.1". Lineage: Eukaryota; Metazoa; Arthropoda; Insecta; Lepidoptera; Nymphalidae. The record is from RNAcentral.
CGGAAUUUUGGAUUUUUAGUUUUUUCUGCAUAUAUAUUUUCUGAGCCCUAAUACUUUAUUGUGAGAAUAUUAUUCGUCGCUUCUCGGGAUUUACUAUGGAAAAUACAGUGAAACGUAAUGUGAGAUAUCAAAAAUGUACUAUUUGUGGUCUAAAGAGGACCCCUGGACUGGAGCCAAUGUAUUUUUGAAGAAGUUUCCACUUGAUCCAGAUCGGUUAGUGUAAAUAUUACUAUCCUCUGUGGUGUUAACAAUAGAACAAUACAAUAUUUAAAUAAAUUCUACUUAAAAUCUUU